GGGAAAACCAGGCGGGAUGACAGGGAUGAGGAAGCUUUCCUUACCGCUUUGCCGUUGUAGUAGUACAUGAGAGAGCUGCCCGUCAUUCCUGGGAUGGUGUAGGCACAGUACAUGGUUCCGGUCCUCGGCAGACAGACGCGCUGGCAGGCUCCCAGCAUUGUACCCGACCCGGCUGCAUGGGGAACCAAAGCAGAGGAGAACACAGAGAGAGGAGGGCAUAUUCCACCAAAACAGGAAAAAAAGAGCACCCUGGGGUCAAAGGGCAUCGUCUGACGAUGGACUGAAAGUCUGAGGAGGAGAACGAAGACUAGACUAGAGGACCGGAGGAGAGAAAAAGACACAAUGAGGAAAAAAGUUUGUCUUGUUCUUCGAUGUGAAAACACGAAAUAAAAAUGUCCCAACAAGUCAA
This is a long non-coding RNA of Girardinichthys multiradiatus, 409 nucleotides long. RefSeq lists it as uncharacterized. The record is from RefSeq and is a predicted model, not a curated record. Lineage: Eukaryota; Metazoa; Chordata; Actinopteri; Cyprinodontiformes; Goodeidae. The transcript is spliced from 2 exons.